GAUGAAGAACGCAGCGAAAUGCGAUAAGUAAUGUGAAUUGCAGAAUUCAGUGAAUCAUCGAAUCUUUGAACGCACAUUGCGCCCCCUGGUAUUCCGGGGGGCAUGCCUGUUCGAGCGUCAUUUCACCACUCAAGCCUCGCUUGGUAUUGGGCGACGCGGUCCGCCGCGCGCCUCAAAUCGACCGGCUGGGUCUUUCGUCCCCUCAGCGUUGUGGAAACUAUUCACUAAAGGGUGCCGCGGGAGGCCACGCCGUAAAACAACCCCAUUUCUAAGGUUGACCUCGGAUCAGGUAGGGAUACCCGCUGAACUUAAGCAUAUCAAUAAGCGGAGGA
RNAcentral lists this unclassified non-coding RNA (332 nucleotides) under soil metagenome. RNAcentral's name for it is "partial contains 5.8S ribosomal RNA, internal transcribed spacer 2, and large subunit ribosomal RNA". The stretch from base 1 to 120 matches the Rfam family "5.8S ribosomal RNA", at positions 35 to 154 of the family's 154-position model. The record is from RNAcentral.